This 73-nucleotide transfer RNA is filed under the name Marmota monax (woodchuck). Its description in RNAcentral is "tRNA.Ala". The stretch from base 4 to 68 matches the Rfam family "tRNA". From Rfam's summary of the family: Transfer RNA (tRNA) molecules are approximately 80 nucleotides in length. Lineage: Eukaryota; Metazoa; Chordata; Mammalia; Rodentia; Sciuridae. The record is from RNAcentral.
AUGGAUAUGGCUCAGUGGUAGAGUGCUUGCCUAGCAUGCAUGAGGCCCUGGGUUCAAUCCCCAGUAUCACAUA